Schizosaccharomyces pombe (fission yeast) is the source of this 224-nucleotide non-coding RNA. The record is from the annotation of a GenBank genome assembly. Lineage: Eukaryota; Fungi; Ascomycota; Schizosaccharomycetes; Schizosaccharomycetales; Schizosaccharomycetaceae.
AAAAAGAAGUUAGCACAUAAAAUGACUAGAGGACGUCUAAUAUCGUACAUUGUAACUCUUCAGCAGAAAUUGGGUUCACUAAUAAUUUGUUAGUAGCUACUUUGAAUAGCAUCAUAAUGAAUCUUGUAUACCUUUAGAAUCAGAAACCUUUUCUUGACCAGGUAAAGGAACGAAAUCAUGAUGAGAACUUAAAUAAUGAAUGGAAGAGUAAAAUUGUGUGGCAA